This 468-nucleotide ribosomal RNA is filed under the name Peptostreptococcaceae bacterium canine oral taxon 126. Its description in RNAcentral is "bacterial SSU rRNA". It matches the Rfam family "Bacterial small subunit ribosomal RNA", at positions 9 to 474 of the family's 1533-position model. The record is from RNAcentral. Lineage: Bacteria; Bacillati; Bacillota; Clostridia; Peptostreptococcales; Peptostreptococcaceae.
GAGUUUGAUUAUGGCUCAGGAUGAACGCUGGCGGCGUGCCUAGCACAUGCAAGUCGAGCGAGAAAUCUGAAACUUGAUCUUCGGAAAGAGUAUCGGAAGGAAAGCGGCGGACGGGUGAGUAACGCGUAGGUAACCUGCCCCAUACAGAGGGAUAGCCACUGGAAACGGUGAUUAAUACCUCAUAAAACCGAGAAUUCACAUGAAUAGUCGGUCAAAGAAUAUAUCGGUAUGGGAUGGACCUGCGUCUGAUUAGUUAGUUGGUGAGGUAACGGCUCACCAAGGCGACGAUCAGUAGCCGACCUGAGAGGGUGAUCGGCCACAUUGGAACUGAGACACGGUCCAAACUCCUACGGGAGGCAGCAGUGGGGAAUAUUGCACAAUGGAGGGAACUCUGAUGCAGCAACGCCGCGUGAAUGAAGAAGGCCUUUGGGUCGUAAAAUUCUGUUAUGAGGGAAGAAGAAAGUGACG